GAUGAACGCUGGCGGCGUGCUUAACACAUGCAAGUCGAACGAUGAAGCCCAGCUUGCUGUGGAUUAGUGGCGAACGGGUGCGUAACACGUGAGUAACCUGCCCUUGACUCUGGGAUAAGCCUGGGAAACUGGGUCUAAUACUGGAUAUGACUUCUCAUCGCAUGGUGGGGGGUGGAAAGAUUUAUUGGUCUUGGAUGGACUCGCGGCCUAUCAGCUUGUUGGUGAGGUAAUGGCUCACCAAGGCGACGACGGGUAGCCGGCCUGAGAGGGUGACCGGCCACACUGGGACUGAGACACGGCCCAGACUCCUACGGGAGGCAGCAGUGGGGAAUAUUGCACAAUGGGCGCAAGCCUGAUGCAGCGACGCCGCGUGAGGGAUGACGGCCUUCGGGUUGUAAACCUCUUUCAGUAGGGAAGAGGCGAGAGUGACGGUACCUGCAGAAGAAGCGCCGGCUAACUACGUG
Molecule: ribosomal RNA, 464 nt
Filed under: uncultured bacterium
Lineage: Bacteria
Description: partial 16S ribosomal RNA
Rfam family: Bacterial small subunit ribosomal RNA
Source: RNAcentral